Molecule: ribosomal RNA, 448 nt
Filed under: uncultured bacterium
Lineage: Bacteria
Description: bacterial SSU rRNA
Rfam family: Bacterial small subunit ribosomal RNA
Source: RNAcentral
CGCCAGACUCCUACGGGAGGCAGCAGUGGGGGAUAUUGCACAAUGGGGGGAACCCUGAUGCAGCGACGCCGCGUGGGUGAAGAAGCGCCUCGGCGCGUAAAGCCCUGUCAGCAGGGAAGAAAAUGACGGUACCUGAAGAAGAAGCCCCGGCUAACUACGUGCCAGCAGCCGCGGUAAUACGUAGGGGGCAAGCGUUAUCCGGAUUUACUGGGUGUAAAGGGAGCGUAGACGGUAUGGCAAGUCUGAAGUGAAAGCCCCGGGCUCAACCUGGGAACUGCUUUGGAAACUGUUAAACUAGAGUGCUGGAGAGGCAGGCGGAAUUCCUAGUGUAGCGGUGAAAUGCGUAGAUAUUAGGAGGAACACCAGUGGCGAAGGCGGCCUGCUGGACAGUAACUGACGUUGAGGCUCGAAAGCGUGGGGAGCAAACAGGAUUAGAUACCCGAGUAGC